UACGAAGGGGGCUAGCGUUGUUCGGAAUUACUGGGCGUAAAGCGUGCGCAGGCGGUGAGCUGUGUCCGAUGUGAAAGCCCCGGGCUUAACCUGGGAAUGGCAUUGGAAACUGGCUCGCUGGAGUGUGGCAGAGGGGGGUGGAAUUCCGCGGUGUAGCAGUGAAAUGCGUAGAGAUGCGGAGGAACACCGAUGGCGAAGGCAGCCCCCUGGGCUAACACUGACGCCUCAGGCACGAAAGCGUGGGGAGCAAACAGG
RNAcentral lists this ribosomal RNA (255 nucleotides) under uncultured bacterium. RNAcentral's name for it is "partial 16S ribosomal RNA". It matches the Rfam family "Bacterial small subunit ribosomal RNA", at positions 524 to 776 of the family's 1533-position model. The record is from RNAcentral.